This 655-nucleotide long non-coding RNA is filed under the name Dromaius novaehollandiae (emu). RNAcentral's name for it is "lncRNA (ENSDNVG00000006058.1)". The record is from RNAcentral. Lineage: Eukaryota; Metazoa; Chordata; Aves; Casuariiformes; Dromaiidae.
CAGUGGGAGUAUGUGGAGGAGGAAAGAUGUUUCACAGUUCUGGUAACUGUGAGCUGGAACCUGUGAGCAAAUGUUUGUUUGCUUUGGCAGCAAGCCUUCUGUCUGAGCAUCCCACAGGACCUUGUCAGUGAUUAUCCCUGAUGCACAUAUGGCCACCAAGGAGUCACCUUCUUAAGAAGGGAACCAGCGGGGCACGAUCAGAGUCUGCACACUGCUGCUCCACAGGUGGACACUGGGAUGGUAUUCUACUUUUCUCUCUGCUCCUGCACAGGAACAUUGGCUUUGAAAACAGGUGACUUGUGAGCUGAAUUACAUUUAAGUGAAAGUACUGCCAUGUCCUGACUUACCUACUGAGUGUAAUGAGCUUCAUAUUCUUUGGCCUUAUUUCAUCAAUAUUUUCCCUCAGAGAUCUUCAGCUUGGAGAUGUUUCAUGAAUUAGGCUGGAAGAGCUAGCCAGGAUCCUUUGGAAAAGCUAAUGGCCAGUCUGAGAAGCCCUGUGUAUGAUGAAUUAGCUCAAGGUUCCAUCCCUGUGCUCCCACCAAAAUUUAUCGGACUACCUCUCCAAGGAUCUCCUGCUGCUCUAUGCAUUCCAGUUGGACUGGUUCUUCAGGUGAUUUGUAAUGACAAGAUUUAUUGCCUCUUCUCUGUAAAUUGA